Molecule: non-coding RNA, 450 nt
Organism: Vicia faba (fava bean)
Lineage: Eukaryota; Viridiplantae; Streptophyta; Magnoliopsida; Fabales; Fabaceae
Source: the annotation of a GenBank genome assembly
GUUGAAUUGUUCCUUCUCCAUUUCGUUGAAUCAACUCACAGUAACUCACCGAAACAACCCAUAACUUCCACCCCUAACUCAUCAUCCUCAACCGUUCCUCUGACCUCUCAGCUCGCGGUCCAUUUCCGAACCACACCGGUCCACACACCAACUUCCAGCAAACUCCCUUCCGCUCUGACCGUUCCCCAGCACCCUUCCGUUCUUCUUCCUUCCGAACACGCCCAGCUGAUUCUCCGCUCAUACUCCCUCUCCGGCCAGAACAAGGCUACUCCCUCCUGUCACAGACUCCCAUUUCAGAACUUCCUCUGUCUCCGUAACCUGCUCCUUCCGCCAGCAACCGGCCUCACACUUCUUCAAUUCCAACCGCGGCACACCCUCGCUGUCACAACACAGUGUACUCCCUCUGUCAAAGCAACAAUACAACAUCCCAUUUUCUCUUUUGAGUGGUAA